This is a long non-coding RNA of Triplophysa rosa, 249 nucleotides long. RefSeq lists it as uncharacterized. The record is from RefSeq and is a predicted model, not a curated record. Lineage: Eukaryota; Metazoa; Chordata; Actinopteri; Cypriniformes; Nemacheilidae. The transcript has 3 exons.
ACGACUUUACCUUUACAAUUGAGAUUUUUGGCUUCUUUGGACAGACUGAGCUCUCAGCUUCUCCAGGUUAUUAGAAGCAAAGGUGGAGUCCUCCGUGAAAAAACUAAAGACACUAUUAAAGUUAUGGAUCAGAGUCUGGACAUAGACAUCAGAAGAGAGUGCCUGCUGAAGUGCCUCAUCAUGUACCUUGGUGAAGAUGCAAGCUGUCUGAUCAAAGAAUACCAGGCUGACCAGAGGGAGGAAGCGGAG